Molecule: long non-coding RNA, 379 nt
Organism: Sander lucioperca (pikeperch)
Lineage: Eukaryota; Metazoa; Chordata; Actinopteri; Perciformes; Percidae
Exons: 2
Source: RefSeq, a predicted model, not a curated record
UGGAGAAAGAGGGCCUGACAAGGAGUCUAGCAUUACUGGAGUCACGUGGCGUCAAACUUGAUUGCAUUGUCACUGAUCGUCAUCCACAAGUACAGAAGUUCCUCAGGGAGAGAAACAUAACCCAUUACUAUGAUGUCUGGCACAUGGCAAAAGGAAUUUCAAAGAAACUGGAAGCAAUCAGUAAGCAGAAAGACUGUGAGAAACUCAAAAAGUGGAUGAAAAGCAUCAACAACCACAUAUACUGGACUGCAGCUGGCUCAACCUCCGGCCCAGAGAGAAUCGCAAAGUGGACCGCGAUCCUGAACCAUGUUCGAGAUGUCCACACACACGAGGAUCCUCUUUACCCCGAGUGCGAGCAUGUGAUCCGCAAGACAACUGA